UCCGUAUCCACUCUUUCUCGUAGAAUCGGACCUCCUCCUUGACAUACGUUGCUGCUCGGCGGAGAACAUUCUCGCCGAGAUGAACACUGUAUGCAAGUUCAACAAGUAUGGAUUUGAAAAAACCAUAUUGAAUUUGACAAGAUAAACCGUCUAGACAAGGUAGCAUCAUUCUUAAAUCACUACAAGAAUACAUACUAUAUAUGACACAUCAAUCUCCCUCACAUUCUAGCUCAAAAUACCUUUCCAUUUUCUACUUUAUCACAUUCUAGCAAAU
RNAcentral lists this long non-coding RNA (274 nucleotides) under Setaria viridis. Its description in RNAcentral is "long non-coding RNA (SVIR_LNC000668)". The record is from RNAcentral. Lineage: Eukaryota; Viridiplantae; Streptophyta; Magnoliopsida; Poales; Poaceae.